UGACCCCAGGUCAGGCGGGACUACCCGCUGAGUUUA
RNAcentral lists this ribosomal RNA (36 nucleotides) under Noveloa coulteriana. RNAcentral's name for it is "partial 26S ribosomal RNA". The record is from RNAcentral. Lineage: Eukaryota; Viridiplantae; Streptophyta; Magnoliopsida; Malpighiales; Podostemaceae. RNAcentral also lists the same sequence under 1 other name.